UACUGUUAGCAGGCCCGAGGAAAUUCUGUAUUGGGCUUUACUAAUGUUUCAUUCUGAUCUUGUGUGAAUUGUAAUCCCCUGGUACUGAACCGUAACUGUGAUGUUAUUGUUGAUUUACUACGGUGAAAAAUGUAACUCAGUUGUUAACUUAUUCUUUUUCUCUUUAUUAUGAACCCAAAGUUUAUUUGUGAUUUGUAGUAAAGAUUAGGCCUAUGAUUAUUCUAUGAAACAAAGCUUCUUUUGUGUAAUUUGUAAUGAAUAUUUGAAUCUUUGGAUGUAAUGAAUAUUUGGUUGGUUGUUGAUAUUUGGCAUACAGGAAAAUAGAGCAAAUGGAUGACUACAAGGUUUUAGCGACUAUUGGACCGUCCUCAUUAUCUAUUUUUUCGUUUGCUGGUGUUGGGCUGAUGGUGUUGAGCAUGAUCAUCGAGAACAAGGGUUGAAGGCUGCUUUCGUUCAAAAGUUGAUAUUAUCAACCAUAUUCGAGGAAAUAUGAUCAUAGAAUUUAAUUUAGUCGCGUAUUAUAUGGUGAUGAUAAUGGUGAAUCGAUUCCUUUCCAUUUUCAAGUGAUUUGAUGAACUUGCAGAUUAUUUGAAUCCAUUCCACGCACAUGAUGAGGGAAUCUUACAUGGCGGUUGAUUUGGUCGGGGCGGCGCCGAAAUAUUUGACUCAACUUGUGGUGACUUUGGAGCAGGAAUGAGUCUGGGCAAGGGCAGUAACCAUGGAUGAUGGUAUUCGCCGCCGAUGAGUCCACAAUAGGAAAGGUUACUGAUGUGUUCCAACAUGCAUCCUCGGUUGGUAUGUUAGUCUGUAGGACUUGGGCCUUCAAUGAUGGACAAUGGAGAGCCCUUAAGAAAUCUCCAUCUAUUUAUGAUCAAGAGGUGUUCAAGGCUCUGGAUUUUUUAGGAGUGAAGCAUAAUAUCUCAAGUGGGGUCGGUGAUCCCGUUGCAGAUCACAAGUGUUGGAAUAAACCUGAGUCAAUUACCGAGGAACGACCUCUCUUACAAGUGAGAACAUCCUCUCCCGGACCAGAUGUUGCAGGUGGAACUGCAGCAGCCAUGGCAUCAGAGUCUUUGGUUUUCAAAAAGACGAAUUCUACAUAUUUAAGCAAUCUCCUCAAGCAUGGCAUCAGAUACUAUUGUGCCGCUAUUUGGAGAAUAUAUUUGUCGAUUGUAUAGUUCCUAACUCUAACAGUAACCAUCCAACCUCGGAAACAAGGAUAUAAACAUUCAUACUGCAAAAAGGUGCUGGAUUGAUGGUGUUGAGCAGGAUCAUCGAGAACAAGGGUUGAAGGUUGUUUUUGUUCAAAAGUUGAUAUUAUCAACCAUAUUCGAGGAAAUAUGCUCAUAGAAUUUAAUUUAGUCGCCUAAGUCAUGGAUUAGUUACAGCUUCUUACAUAUUCAGAUAGUCUAUGUAUUGUGUUGCUGGUCCACAAGGCACUGGGUUUUAUUGCGGUGGUUCUGUUUAGGAUGUGAAGUCGUAUAAGCAAUAGUUAUAUUGAGGCCAAAUGUAUUUCAGGACUCUGUCAAUUUAAGUGUGAUUUUUCGGUAACUCCAUUGAAGAUUGCUUUAAAUCUACUUUACUACAGCUUAUUGAGAGCAUGGUAACAUUGAGAGAUUGCACAGCCUGCAAGUUGUACCAAGUAAGUAGCAUUUGAACUAUCAAUGAUUAAAUGUUUUUUGCAUCUCUUUCCAGGAACUCCAACUUCUGCUGCUACUUCUUUGAUAGGACCAGAUGGAAAUGUCAUCUUAUGUCGAGGUUUUGUUUUAGGUGUAAAUUCUAUAAUUGGUAACUGCAGUCAUGGAUUAAUACACAAGAAUUAAGUGUCAGUAUCAUAAAGAUAUCUUUAUAGGUACUUAGUAUAUCAUUCCAAUGGUAAUGUACCUGAGGUUUAGAAGUAUGUGAUCCCUGAUUUGCAGAAUUAAGGGUUACUUUUUAUAAUUAUUCUUUUCUGAUUCUCUUGGUGAACCUGUUAGGAAAUUCGGUUAGUCAUUUUCUCUAUCUUCAAGUUUCUGUUUAACCGUUAGUUAUGGACUAUGCAGCUUGGUUUUUGAAUCGGUUUCCUCUUGCAGAAUUUAUGUCGGUCAGCUUAUUGAAGGGAGUUCAUUUCGGUUCAGAUUGAAUUUGAGGAAAUAGGAGAGU
This is a long non-coding RNA of Vicia villosa (hairy vetch), 2139 nucleotides long. RefSeq lists it as uncharacterized. The record is from RefSeq and is a predicted model, not a curated record. Lineage: Eukaryota; Viridiplantae; Streptophyta; Magnoliopsida; Fabales; Fabaceae. The transcript is spliced from 10 exons.